Molecule: long non-coding RNA, 500 nt
Filed under: Vigna radiata
Lineage: Eukaryota; Viridiplantae; Streptophyta; Magnoliopsida; Fabales; Fabaceae
Description: long non-coding RNA (VRAD_LNC004033)
Source: RNAcentral
UUAGAGCUGACAUGGAAUGUGAGAGUUGUAACAAUUUUAUAAUAAAGUAGAAUACUUUCUAUUUCGAUUAUAUAUAGAAUCAAGAUAGAAAGUGAGACUGGCGAUAAUUUUGAAAUAAAGUAGAAGAUUUUUUAUGCUAAUUAUACCUAAAAUAAACACAAAAAAUAUACUAUUUUAAAUUUAGAAAAUAAACGCUACGUUGAUUUUUCAUUAUAACUGAUAUAGAAUUUUUAAUUUUCUUCUUCUCCUUUUCCUCCUCGCGCUGCACUUUAUUGUUUUUAUCGCAUUGCUCUCCUCCCUCACACUAUUUUUCUCCGUCGCACUAACUCUCAUCUUCUUCUUUCACUGUACUUGGUUGUCUCUCUCCUCUUCUCUUUUGCUGGUGGCUACUUCCGUUCUCGUAAAGGUCAAGCUUUGGCUGUUAUCGUUCUCACUAUAGUCAAUUUUGAAUCUUAAUAUGUUAUUUUGUUGAGUCUGUUAUCAGUAUUUAUUGGGACAAU